RNAcentral lists this ribosomal RNA (610 nucleotides) under Limnobacter sp. RNAcentral describes it as "bacterial SSU rRNA". It matches the Rfam family "Bacterial small subunit ribosomal RNA", at positions 34 to 641 of the family's 1533-position model. The record is from RNAcentral. Lineage: Bacteria; Pseudomonadati; Pseudomonadota; Betaproteobacteria; Burkholderiales; Burkholderiaceae.
GGAUGGCGGGCUGCCUUAACAUGCAGUCGAACGGUAACAGGGAGCUUGCUCCGCUGACGAGUGGCGAACGGGUGAGUAAUACAUCGGAACGUGCCCAGUAAUGGGGGAUAGCUCGGCGAAAGCCGGAUUAAUACCGCAUACGCCCUGAGGGGGAAAGUGGGGGACCGCAAGGCCUCACGUUAUUGGAGCGGCCGAUGGCUGAUUAGCUAGUUGGUAGGGUAAAGGCCUACCAAGGCGACGAUCAGUAGCUGGUCUGAGAGGACGAUCAGCCACACUGGGACUGAGACACGGCCCAGACUCCUACGGGAGGCAGCAGUGGGGAAUUUUGGACAAUGGGGGAAACCCUGAUCCAGCAAUGCCGCGUGUGCGAAGAAGGCCUUCGGGUUGUAAAGCACUUUUGUCAGGGAAGAAAUCCUUUGGGCUAAUACCCUAGGGGGAUGACGGUACCUGAAGAAUAAGCACCGGCUAACUACGUGCCAGCAGCCGCGGUAAUACGUAGGGUGCAAGCGUUAAUCGGAAUUACUGGGCGUAAAGCGUGCGCAGGCGGUUGUGUAAGACAGGUGUGAAAUCCCCGGGCUUAACCUGGGAAUUGCAUUUGUGACUGCACGAC